RNAcentral lists this non-coding RNA (46 nucleotides) under unclassified sequences. The record is from RNAcentral.
AGAUUACAACGGCUACCUGACGUUAUCUUUAUUUGAAAAUGGAGCG